Molecule: long non-coding RNA, 704 nt
Organism: Gossypium raimondii (Peruvian cotton)
Lineage: Eukaryota; Viridiplantae; Streptophyta; Magnoliopsida; Malvales; Malvaceae
Exons: 2
Source: RefSeq, a predicted model, not a curated record
CCAAUUUUUAAUUUUUUUUUCAUUUAUUUCCCCAUCACAGAAAAAAAACUACAAAAACCUCUGAAACCCUUCCCCUCUCCGGCCUGGGCUUCGACCAGUAGCCACCCGCGGCCGGCGCCGCCGUGCACGGUGGCCGGCAAGAGUAAAAAGGGUCCCUUUUUUAGACCCUAACCCUCUGAGCCCGGAUCUAGUCUCAAAACAACCAAAAAGCAAGAAAAAGGGGGCGUUCACGUUCUCAACGAUCCAUUUUGGCACCGGAAAAGAAGUCUCCGACGACAGACGCGAAUCGACUCCGGGAGUCAGAGGGCAGGUAUGGCAGCAGCGUACGGCGCACAUGGGAGCAGCAAGGGAUGCGGCGCCCUAGGGUUGGGGAUUAGGCUUUUUUGCUGAAACGUUUUAGGUGAUUGGGCCAUUGGGCUAGCUGUUUUUGGGUUUAAUUGAGUUUGUUGGGCUGGGGCAAAUUUGGGCUUUGUACAAUAUGAGUCGGUAAUGAAUUAAUUUAAUUGGUAAUACAUGACUUAAUUUUAGCCAGAAGUAGAAAUAAUAUCCGCUUAUUUUGAAGAUGUUUUAUUUUUUACAAGAGUUAUUACUCAUCUUCCUAAUUUCUAAUUGUUCUUUAUUUUGAUGUAACUAUUGUAAAACAUUUGUAAUAAGCGUAUUAUUACACUAGUAAUCAAAUGAGACAUUAAAGAUUUACGUAAUCA